RNAcentral lists this ribosomal RNA (487 nucleotides) under uncultured Turicibacter sp. RNAcentral's name for it is "partial 16S ribosomal RNA". The record is from RNAcentral. Lineage: Bacteria; Bacillati; Bacillota; Erysipelotrichia; Erysipelotrichales; Turicibacteraceae.
CACGUAGCUAGCCGUGGCUUUCUCAUAAGGUACCGUCAAUUGAUAGUCAUUUCCUCCUAUCACCUUUCUUCCCUUAUAACAGAAUUUUACAACCCGAAGGCCUUCUUCAUUCACGCGGCGUUGCUCGGUCAGGCUUUCGCCCAUUGCCGAAGAUUCCCUACUGCUGCCUCCCGUAGGAGUCUGGGCCGUGUCUCAGUCCCAGUGUGGCCGUUCACCCUCUCAGGUCGGCUACGCAUCGUCGCCUUGGUAGGCCUUUACCCCACCAACUAGCUAAUGCGCCGCAGGCUCAUCCAUCAGUGAUGCCAGGAGCAUCUUUAAACUUUCGUCCUAUCCGGUAUUAGCGAUCGUUUCCAAUCGUUGUCCCCGUCUGAUGGGCAGAUCACCUACGUGUUACUCACCCGUUCGCCGCUUCCCACCGAAGUGGUUCGCUCGACUUGCAUGUAUUAGGCACGCCGCCAGCGUUCAUCCUGAGCCAGGAUCAAACUCU